This 467-nucleotide long non-coding RNA is filed under the name Gossypium raimondii (Peruvian cotton). RNAcentral describes it as "long non-coding RNA (GRAI_LNC006434)". Lineage: Eukaryota; Viridiplantae; Streptophyta; Magnoliopsida; Malvales; Malvaceae. The record is from RNAcentral.
GUGGCACUAAGGUAAUCGGCUUGGUUGAAGUUGUUUUUCCUCUGCUAGUGUGGUUUCGGUCGAUUUCACGUCUUUGUUUCUCUACUUCUAGGUGCCGAUUUUUGUUAGUUUUGGGGUACCUCUCGGGUUGUUUUUACCUAUUUUUUUUUUGGCCGAACACACUCUCCUCCCUUAUCUUUUCUUUUUUUCUUUCUUUUCGGUUUCUUUUUCUCUUGUUGCUGAUUUUUCCCCUUCUUUUUUCCCUCUUCUUUACUUUGUGUCCGAAUCUUUUUCCUCUUCUCUUUUUUCUCUAUUGACUGAAUAACCUUCUUUUACUGUUUGUGAUUUCAACAUUCUUUUAUUCUUUAUGACCGAGACAUAUCCUUUUUGUUUGAGUAUGGUGUAGCUGAACAUUAUCAUUCGUAGUAUCGUUAUCUACAUUGAUCUUUCUCCACUGCUUCUUGCGGUUACUGUGUUGUAGGGUUCUG